CGAAGGGUGCAAGCGUUAGUCGGAAUUACUGGGCGUAAAGCGUGCGUAGGUGGUUUCUUAAGUCGGAUGUGAAAGCCCUGGGCUCAACCUGGGAAUGGCACUCGAUACUGGGAAGCUGGAGUGCGGUAGAGGAGGGUGGAAUUCCCGGUGUAGCGGUGAAAUGCGUAGAGAUCGGGAGGAACAUCAGUGGCGAAGGCGACCCUCUGGACCAGCACUGACGCUGAGGCACGAAAGCGUGGGGAGCAAACAGGAUUAGAUACCCUGGUAGUCCACGCCCUAAACGAUGCAAACUGGAUGUUGGGCUCAACUCGGAGCUCAGUGUCGAAGCUAACGCGUUAAGUUCGCCGCCUGGGGAGUACGCUCGCAAGAGUG
RNAcentral lists this ribosomal RNA (372 nucleotides) under uncultured organism. RNAcentral describes it as "bacterial SSU rRNA". It matches the Rfam family "Bacterial small subunit ribosomal RNA", at positions 526 to 896 of the family's 1533-position model. The record is from RNAcentral.